UACGAAGGGGGCAAGCGUUGUUCGGAAUUACUGGGCGUAAAGGGCGCGUAGGCGGCCUGUUAAGUCGAACGUGAAAUCCCCGGGCUCAACCCGGGAACUGCGUCCGAUACUGGCAGGCUUGAAUCCGGGAGAGGGAUGCGGAAUUCCAGGUGUAGCGGUGAAAUGCGUAGAUAUCUGGAGGAACACCGGUGGCGAAGGCGGCAUCCUGGACCGGCAUUGACGCUGAGGCGCGAAAGCCAGGGGAGCAAACGGG
This 253-nucleotide ribosomal RNA is filed under the name uncultured bacterium. RNAcentral's name for it is "partial 16S ribosomal RNA". It matches the Rfam family "Bacterial small subunit ribosomal RNA", at positions 524 to 776 of the family's 1533-position model. The record is from RNAcentral.